UCUAGUGAUGAUGGCAAAGAGGUCACACCCGUUCCCAUACCGAACACGGAAGUUAAGCUCUUUAGCGCCGAUGGUAGUUGGGGGCUUCCCCCGGUGGGGGUGGGACGUCGCUAGCC
This 116-nucleotide ribosomal RNA is filed under the name Lysinibacillus contaminans. The record is from RNAcentral. Lineage: Bacteria; Bacillati; Bacillota; Bacilli; Caryophanales; Bacillaceae.